This 468-nucleotide ribosomal RNA is filed under the name uncultured bacterium. RNAcentral describes it as "partial 16S ribosomal RNA". It matches the Rfam family "Bacterial small subunit ribosomal RNA", at positions 28 to 507 of the family's 1533-position model. The record is from RNAcentral.
GACGAACGCUGGCGGCGUGCUUAACACAUGCAAGUCGAACGGAAAGGCCCUGCUUUUGUGGGGUGCUCGAGUGGCGAACGGGUGAGUAACACGUGAGUAACCUGCCCUUGACUUUGGGAUAACUUCAGGAAACUGGGGCUAAUACCGGAUAGGAGCUCCUGCUGCAUGGUGGGGGUUGGAAAGUUUCGGCGGUUGGGGAUGGACUCGCGGCUUAUCAGCUUGUUGGUGGGGUGGUGGCUUACCAAGGCUUUGACGGGUAGCCGGCCUGAGAAGGUGACCGGCCACAUUGGGGCUGAGGUACGGCCCAGACUCCUACGGGAGGCAGCAGUGGGGAAUAUUGCACAAUGGGCGGAAGCCUGAUGCAGCAACGCCGCGUGCGGGAUGACGGCCUUCGGGUUGUAAACCGCUUUCGCCUGUGACGAAGCGUGAGUGACGGUAAUGGGUAAAGAAGCACCGGCUAACUACGUG